Molecule: long non-coding RNA, 447 nt
Organism: Olea europaea var. sylvestris
Lineage: Eukaryota; Viridiplantae; Streptophyta; Magnoliopsida; Lamiales; Oleaceae
Exons: 2
Source: RefSeq, a predicted model, not a curated record
CACGAAUUCAUGACUGAAUCUCUCUCUACAUUUCUACCUAAUUAAUUCCCACUACUUUCUCCACAUCUCUCUCAACAUUUCUCCCAGAAAUUUUUUUGAUAGAUCUGACAUAUGCAAAAUUGAACAAAAAUGGCAACAGGAGGACCGGAUCCAUUGUUUGGAUUAAAGAACAGUUUUCUACUUGGGUGCAUACCAGGCAACCAUCAAUAACAGCAACAUCCCCCGUCUUUCCACAGAAGACGCCAUUGAGAGGGACUCACUCGUUUUCAGAUCGUAUAUUGCCCUCGGCAGUUAUCAUGUUGUCAUGAAGUGGUGGCGGCUCUGUUGAAGAAGGGCUCUCUUGUGGGCGGCGGUAAUGGUAACAGUGAUGAUGGUCGUGGGGUGAAAUGGGGUUGAAUGCAUGUGACCAAUUUUUUGAUAGAUUGUAACUAAUAAUAGGUCAAUUUG